UACGAAGGGGGCUAGCGUUGCUCGGAAUUACUGGGCGUAAAGGGAGCGUAGGCGGAUAGUUUAGUCAGAGGUGAAAGCCCAGGGCUCAACCUUGGAAUUGCCUUUGAUACUGGCUAUCUUGAGUACGGAAGAGGUAUGUGGAACUCCGAGUGUAGAGGUGAAAUUCGUAGAUAUUCGGAAGAACACCAGUGGCGAAGGCGGCUCACUGGCCCGGUACUGACGCUGAGGUGCGAAAGCGUGGGGAGCAAACAGG
RNAcentral lists this ribosomal RNA (253 nucleotides) under uncultured bacterium. Its description in RNAcentral is "partial 16S ribosomal RNA". It matches the Rfam family "Bacterial small subunit ribosomal RNA", at positions 524 to 776 of the family's 1533-position model. The record is from RNAcentral.